RNAcentral lists this non-coding RNA (107 nucleotides) under Jeotgalibacillus soli. RNAcentral's name for it is "SAM-I sequence". It matches the Rfam family "SAM riboswitch aptamer (S box leader)". From Rfam's summary of the family: The SAM riboswitch is found upstream of a number of genes which code for proteins involved in methionine or cysteine biosynthesis in Gram-positive bacteria. The SAM riboswitch acts at the level of transcription termination control. Lineage: Bacteria; Bacillati; Bacillota; Bacilli; Caryophanales; Caryophanaceae. The record is from Rfam by way of RNAcentral.
UACUUAUCCAGAGAGGUUGAGGGACUGGCCCUUUGAUGCCUCAGCAACCAGCCACAUUUGGCACGGUGCUAACUCCAGCAGGUUUACUUUAACCUGAGCGAUAAGGA